Molecule: long non-coding RNA, 719 nt
Organism: Sinocyclocheilus grahami
Lineage: Eukaryota; Metazoa; Chordata; Actinopteri; Cypriniformes; Cyprinidae
Exons: 2
Source: RefSeq, a predicted model, not a curated record
GACUUUCCCCUUUAACUCGCUUUGCUUGGCGUUACCACUAGAGGGAGUAAUAAACGUAUAGGAUAUAAGUGAGACGAAGUAGAGUAAGAGUAAUAAUCCACGUUUGCUCACGAGCUAACAGGUACGACUCAGGAGAAUGAUUUGAGCUUUCAGCUUUUAGUAUCCCUUCGGCAAGCAGAGCGAGCGAGUUUUACGGUGCCACGGUGAAGUGAUCUGGUUGUAAUGAUGCUAUGAAGUCAAUCAAUGGUUGUGAUGCAUGGAGAGAAUAUGCAACAAAGAAUUGAGAUAACGAAUACUUCAGCAGUGAAGUUUAUUGCAUCUGAGUAAAAUAAAUCAAAAGGCACCCGUCAGAAACUCUCUGCCUCUUUUUGUUCGACGCUGAAGGGCUGCUACAGUAAAACUCGCUGCUAAAGAUGACGACUUCAUCGCGUGGCUGUUGUUUCCUCGCAUGAGUGGGACUUGAUGCUGCAGCGAAUGCUUUCAUCGUGCCACCUUGUUUGCAUCGCGUCAGUAAGAGACCGAUUCCAUGAUAGGACUGCAACAUUAUACAGUCAACAGCUUGGAAUACUCCUCAUUUGUGAACGACUGAAAGGUGACCGCAAAGCAAAAUUGUUGGUACAGACUCGGAGGCAAAAAAAAAAAAAGGACUCCAUGGUUAUAGCUUUUGCAUUAAGUCGAAACUUUUAUAAUUAAAGUGAUUUUGUAGUUUUGUAAGUGAA